GAUGAACGCUGGCGGCGUGCCUAAUACAUGCAAGUCGAGCGAACAGACGAGGAGCUUGCUCCUCUGACGUUAGCGGCGGACGGGUGAGUAACACGUGGAUAACCUACCUAUAAGACUGGGAUAACUUCGGGAAACCGGAGCUAAUGCCGGAUAAUAUAUUGAACCGCAUGGUUCAAUAGUGAAAGACGGUUUUGCUGUCACUUAUAGAUGGAUCCGCGCCGCAUUAGCUAGUUGGUAAGGUAACGGCUUACCAAGGCAACGAUGCGUAGCCGACCUGAGAGGGUGAUCGGCCACACUGGAACUGAGACACGGUCCAGACUCCUACGGGAAGCAGCAGUAGGGAAUCUUCCGCAAUGGGCGAAAGCCUGACGGAGCAACGCCGCGUGAGUGAUGAAGGUCUUCGGAUCGUAAAACUCUGUUAUUAGGGAAGAACAAAUGUGUAAGUAACUAUGCACGUCUUGACGGCACCUAAUCAGAAAGCCACGGCUAACUACGUG
This 497-nucleotide ribosomal RNA is filed under the name uncultured bacterium. Its description in RNAcentral is "partial 16S ribosomal RNA". It matches the Rfam family "Bacterial small subunit ribosomal RNA", at positions 28 to 507 of the family's 1533-position model. The record is from RNAcentral.